UACCAAAAACAUCGCCUCUUGCCAAUAAAAUAUAAGAGGUCCUGCCUGCCCUGUGACACAACGUUUAACGGCCGCGGUAUCUUGACCGUGUGAAGGUAGCGUAAUCAUUUGUCUUUUAAAUGAAGACCUGUAUGAAUGGCGUAACGAGAGCUUAACUGUCUCACUCUCUUAGUCAAUGAAAUUGAUCUCCCCGUGCAGAAGCGAGGAUAAAAACAUAAGACGAAAAGACCCUAUGGAGCUUUAGAAUCUGAAUCAGACCAGACAACCCUAAGUUUAUUUAUCCCUGGCCCCUGCUUCAAAUUUCUUCGGUUGGGGCGACCAUGGAGAAAAAUAAAACCUCCACGAAAAGACCACACACUUCUUUAAAAUAUAGAGCCACAACUCUAAUUUUCAGAAGAUCUGCCUAUAAAUGACCCAGCAUGACAGCUGAUCAACGAAACAAGUUACCCUAGGGAUAACAGCGCAAUCCCCUUUUAGAGCCCACAUCGACAAGGGGGUUUACGACCUCGAUGUUGGAUCAGGACAUCCUAAUGGCGCAACCGCUAUUAAGGGUUCGUUUGUUCAACGAUUAAAGUCCUACGUGAUCUG
RNAcentral lists this ribosomal RNA (588 nucleotides) under Atlantirivulus riograndensis. RNAcentral's name for it is "partial 16S large subunit ribosomal RNA". It matches the Rfam family "Bacterial large subunit ribosomal RNA", at positions 1805 to 2607 of the family's 2925-position model. The record is from RNAcentral. Lineage: Eukaryota; Metazoa; Chordata; Actinopteri; Cyprinodontiformes; Rivulidae.